GAGAGAUCAGUGUCAGGCUGGGCCCUGAGAGCACAGACACCACCACCCUCCCAAAGGCACAGGAAGCAGUUUGUGGCACACAUUCCUGCAGUAAAGGGAGCAUUGCACCACUGCCAUCCAGCAACUCCGUGGUUUCACCAAGGAGAUCAAGGCCAGAGUGGAGGUGUCCAGCUCAGCAGUUGCAAUCUGAGGGGCACGUUCCCCCUCAGACACAGCCCCCACAAACAGCUCAACCCUUCCAGGAUCCCUGCUUGGACAGUGCUGCUCACCAGAAAGCUCCAGGUGUUCUGGCCCUCCAGCACCUCCAUCAUUCCUCCUGGCAGAGCCCUGUGGGGUUUCUGGAACCCCCAGAAAAGCUCCUCAAAGACCACUGUGUCCCCCUGGCCACCAUCAACAGCCAAAAGACGGCACAAAUCACCUCGGACUUGGAUUUUAAAGAGAAUCCCACCAAAAGUGCCGUUUUGUCCGUGAUGAAGAAUCAGCCAGCUGUGGGAGAGACCCCAAAGGGAGCUGGGCAGGGGGGCGGCACAGGGGCUGCUGCAGGGGGGCACAGGGGGNGAGGGGCAGCGGGAGGGAGCGGGGCUCGGGCUGUGGGUGCUGCGGGGUUUGGGAGCCCGGAGCUGUUUGCUUAACGUGAAUACUCGGGUUUGACAUGGGCUGGGCUCUCCUCACAGGCUGCCUGCAGUUUGUGUCCCUCCUUAAGGAUUUUGAGAUCCCUGCCCGCCGAAAGCACCUGUGCCAUGUGUGAGAUGUGUGAGGAAACAUCGUUCCUUAAGCGGAGAAUCUCAGUCCUGAAGUUUAUUGUCACUGCUUUGUGAGAUUCAAGAAGACAUUCAGAAGCUUAAAAUGGAAAAAACCAACUUGAAAGGAAAUGCAGAAGCCGUGGAUAUUUGUGACCUCAGAAAAGCAGCUGACAGGCCUGAACUUGGGCUGAGAAAACAAGCUGAAAAUUAUUCCAGUGUUAUAAAUGGCCAAGAGUUAACUCUUUCUUCAGCUGGUAAUAAAGAAGUAAAUUCCAAAGAGCCCCCUAAGUGCAGGAAUCCUGGUUCUGGAGCCUGUGAGCAGCAGCUGGUCCUGCCCCGGGUGCCGGCCCUGGCUGUGCAGAGGAGCAGCAGAGCAGCCCCACGGCAGGUGGAAAUGGAUUUUAAAAUCAUGCUUGACCCAGAGAACAUGGAGAAUAAAGCUGAUUUAAAACUUCCCAGUGAUGAGACCAGACUGCCACUUAUAGCUAAGAAAAAAUCUGCUCCUGUGUGCAGUCAGAGGACAGGGAAGGAGCCCCCAGCCCCCAGCCCUUGGGCUUUGCCUGCCUUCCCCUCCCUGGGCUCUCCCCUGGCCCUGCUGGAAGAGGACACCCCAAAAGGUGCCCUGAGCCCCAGUGGCCAGAGGCUGAUGCUGCCAACAGCCCUGAGGGCUCUGCCAGCCCCUCCUGCCGUGCCCAGAGCAGCUCCUGGCCCUCAGCUCCCCAGGCAGCACAAGAAACCAGCUCUGGGAGAGAUCAGUGUCAGGCUGGGCCCUGAGAGCACAGACACCACCACCCUCCCAAAGGCACAGGAAGCAGUUUGUGGCACACAUUCCUGCAGUAAAGGGAGCAUUGCACCACUGCCAUCCAGCAACUCCGUGGUUUCACCAAGGAGAUCAAGGCCAGAGUGGAGGUGUCCAGCUCAGCAGUUGCAAUCUGAGGGGCACGUUCCCCCUCAGACACAGGUGACUGGUGGAAGGGAUCACUCAGUGAGGAUAAUGAGGGUUUUAUUUGUGGUUUUUUUUACUGUCUUCACCAGGGCUGGUUUAGGGAGGGACUGUAAAUCUCAGGAGGGUUUGAACCACAUCUAGUAAGUACUGAAAUAAAAUAACAAAUAGUUUGUGUAUUCCA
Zonotrichia albicollis (white-throated sparrow) is the source of this 1870-nucleotide long non-coding RNA. NCBI's taxonomy places the organism in Eukaryota, Metazoa, Chordata, Aves, Passeriformes, Passerellidae. The record is from Ensembl.